UCUAAUAUGGCAGAAUAGUGCAUUGGAUUUAAAUCCCAAUUAUAAAGGCCCCUUUUUUUAGAA
RNAcentral lists this transfer RNA (63 nucleotides) under Palaestes freyreissi. Its description in RNAcentral is "tRNA-Leu". It matches the Rfam family "tRNA". Rfam says of the family: Transfer RNA (tRNA) molecules are approximately 80 nucleotides in length. Their secondary structure includes four short double-helical elements and three loops (D, anti-codon, and T loops). RNAcentral also lists the same sequence under 1 other name. The record is from RNAcentral. Lineage: Eukaryota; Metazoa; Arthropoda; Insecta; Coleoptera; Cucujidae.